Molecule: ribosomal RNA, 1366 nt
Filed under: Burkholderia plantarii
Lineage: Bacteria; Pseudomonadati; Pseudomonadota; Betaproteobacteria; Burkholderiales; Burkholderiaceae
Description: bacterial LSU rRNA
Rfam family: Bacterial large subunit ribosomal RNA
Source: RNAcentral
CCACUAACGUUGAAAAGUUAGGGGAUGAGCUGUGGAUAGGGGUGAAAGGCUAAACAAACUUGGAAAUAGCUGGUUCUCUCCGAAAACUAUUUAGGUAGUGCCUCGUGUCUCACCUUCGGGGGUAGAGCACUGUCAUGGUUGGGGGGUCUAUUGCAGAUUACCCCGCCAUAGCAAACUCCGAAUACCGAAGAGUGCAAUCACGGGAGACAGACAUCGGGUGCUAACGUCCGGUGUCAAGAGGGAAACAACCCAGACCGCCAGCUAAGGUCCCCAAAUAUAGCUAAGUGGGAAACGAAGUGGGAAGGCUAAAACAGUCAGGAGGUUGGCUUAGAAGCAGCCACCCUUUAAAGAAAGCGUAAUAGCUCACUGAUCGAGUCGUCCUGCGCGGAAGAUGUAACGGGGCUAAGCUAUAUACCGAAGCUGCGGAUGCACAUUUAUGUGCAUGGUAGGAGAGCGUUCCGUAAGCCUGCGAAGGUGCAUUGUAAAGUGUGCUGGAGGUAUCGGAAGUGCGAAUGCUGACAUGAGUAGCGAUAAAGGGGGUGAAAGGCCCCCUCGCCGUAAGCCCAAGGUUUCCUACGCAACGUUCAUCGGCGUAGGGUGAGUCGGCCCCUAAGGCGAGGCAGAAAUGCGUAGCUGAUGGGAAGCAGGUCAAUAUUCCUGCACCAUUGUUAAAUGCGAUGGGGGGACGGAUCGCGGAAGGUUGUCCGGGUGUUGGAAGUCCCGGUCGCUGCAUUGGAGAAGGCGCUUAGGCAAAUCCGGGCGCGGAAUUCAAGGGUGUGGCGCGAGCUUCUUCGGAAGCGAAGCAAUCGGAAGUGGUUCCAAGAAAAGCCUCUAAGCUUCAGUUUAACAGUGACCGUACCGCAAACCGACACAGGUGGGCGAGAUGAGUAUUCUAAGGCGCUUGAGAGAACUCGGGAGAAGGAACUCGGCAAAUUGGUACCGUAACUUCGGGAUAAGGUACGCCCCUGUAGCUUGACUGGCCUGCGCCAGAAGGGUGAAGGGGUUGCAAUAAACUGGUGGCUGCGACUGUUUAAUAAAAACACAGCACUCUGCAAACACGAAAGUGGACGUAUAGGGUGUGACGCCUGCCCGGUGCCGGAAGAUUAAAUGAUGGGGUGCAAGCUCUUGAUUGAAGUCCCGGUAAACGGCGGCCGUAACUAUAACGGUCCUAAGGUAGCGAAAUUCCUUGUCGGGUAAGUUCCGACCUGCACGAAUGGCGUAACGAUGGCCACACUGUCUCCUCCCGAGACUCAGCGAAGUUGAAGUGUUUGUGAUGAUGCAAUCUCCCCGCGGCUAGACGGAAAGACCCCAUGAACCUUUACUGUAGCUUUGCAUUGGACUUUGAACCGAUCUGUGUAGGAUAGGU